RNAcentral lists this ribosomal RNA (229 nucleotides) under uncultured bacterium. Its description in RNAcentral is "partial 16S ribosomal RNA". It matches the Rfam family "Bacterial small subunit ribosomal RNA", at positions 568 to 796 of the family's 1533-position model. The record is from RNAcentral.
UGCGUAGGCGGGCUAAUAAGUCAGUGGUGAAAUCUUCCGGCUCAACCGGGAACCUGCCAUUGAUACUGUUAGUCUUGAGUUCGGCUGAGGUAGGCGGAAUGUGUAAUGUAGCGGUGAAAUGCUUAGAUAUUACACAGAACACCAAUUGCGUAGGCAGCUUACUAUGCCGACACUGACGCUGAGGCACGAAAGCGUGGGGAGCGAACAGGAUUAGAUACCCUGGUAGUCC